UGCGUAGGCGGCUUUGCAAGUCAGAUGUGAAAUCUAUGGGCUCAACCCAUAGCCUGCAUUUGAAACUGCAGAGCUUGAGUGAAGUAGAGGCAGGCGGAAUUCCCCGUGUAGCGGUGAAAUGCGUAGAGAUGGGGAGGAACACCAGUGGCGAAGGCGGCCUGCUGGGCUUUAACUGACGCUGAGAUGCGAAAGCGUGGGGAGCAAACA
Molecule: ribosomal RNA, 207 nt
Filed under: uncultured bacterium
Lineage: Bacteria
Description: partial 16S ribosomal RNA
Rfam family: Bacterial small subunit ribosomal RNA
Source: RNAcentral